CCAGACUCCUACGGGAGGCAGCAGUGGGGAAUAUUGCUCAAUGGGGGAAACCCUGAAGCAGCAACGCCGCGUGAGGGAAGAAGGCUUUCGGGUUGUAAACCCCUUUUGGUAGAGAAGAAAAUGACGGUAUCUAACGAAUAAGCACCGGCUAACUACGUGCCAGCAGCCGCGGUAAUACGGAGGGCGCGAGCGUUAAUCGGAAUUACUGGGCGUAAAGCGCGCGUAGGCGGUAUGUCAAGUCAAGGGUGAAAUCCCCGCGCUUAACGUGGGAACUGCCUUUGAAACUGGCGGGCUGGAGUGUGGGAGAGGCAAGUGGAAUUCCUGGUGUAGCGGUGAAAUGCGUAGAUAUCAGGAGGAACACCAGUGGCGAAGGCGGCUUUCUGGCACAUAACUGACGCUGAGGCGCGAAAGCGUGGGUAGCAAACAGGAUUAGAUACCCCUGUAC
This 445-nucleotide ribosomal RNA is filed under the name uncultured bacterium. RNAcentral describes it as "bacterial SSU rRNA". It matches the Rfam family "Bacterial small subunit ribosomal RNA", at positions 331 to 793 of the family's 1533-position model. The record is from RNAcentral.